AUGCUAUUCAAUAUAGUGGCGGAUAUGCUAGCAGUCAUGAUUGAGCGUGCCAAGGCUGAUGGACAAAUUGAUGGGGUAGUAAAUCAUCUAGUUGAUGGUGGCCUCUCCAUACUUCAGUAUGCCGACGAUACAAUUCUCUUCAUGGACCAUGACCUCGAGAAAGCGAAAAAUCUGAAAUUAAUUUUAUCAGCAUUCGAGCAACUCUCAGGUCUUAAGAUUAAUUUUCAUAAAAGUGAAUUGUUUUGCUUUGGCGAGGCCCAAGACGAGGCUCACCUGUAUGCUGAAUUGUUCGGAUGUGGGUUGGGCCAGUUUUCGAUCACAUAUUUGGGGAUACCGAUACAUUAUCGGAGACUUACAAAUGCUGAAUGGAAACACAUCGAGGAGAGGCUGCAAAAAAGACUUAGCAGUUGGAAAGGUAAGCUGCUGUCUCUAGGAGGAAGAUUGGUCCUAAUAAAUUCAGUACUAAGUAAUAUGGUAUUAUAUAUGAUCUCCUUCUUCCAGUUGCCAAAAGGAGUUUUACAUAGAUUGGAUUAUUUCCGAUCAAGAUUCUUUUGGCAAGGAGAUAGCGAGAAAAAGAAAUAUCGAUUGGCUAAAUGGAGUGUGGUUUGCCGUCCCAAAGACCAAGGCGGGUUGGGCAUUCAUGACCUUGAGGUUAAGAAUAGGUCCCUACUCGGCAAAUGGUUGUUUAAAUUACUAACGGAAGAUGGUGUAUGGCAAACCCUCCUCAGAAGGAAAUAUGUGGGCUCCAAGGCAGUAUCCCAAGUAUAUUGGAAGCCCGGGGAUUCUCACUUUUGGGCGGGUCUAAUGGCUACGAAGAAAUAUUUCUUUUGCUAUGGAUCUUUCUCGAUUAAGGAUGGCUCGGAAAUUAGAUUCUGGGAGGAUAUGUGGCUAGGAAAUGCCACUCUCCGGGAACAAUAUCCGGCUCUAUACAACAUUGUACGUCACAAGGGCGAUACUAUCGCCACGGUAAUGGAAUCAUUUCCGCCAAAUGUGACAUUCAGAAGGGAUAUAUUUGGACCCAGACUACAAUCGUGGAACAUCCUGCUCCAGCGGUUGUGA
RNAcentral lists this ribosomal RNA (1059 nucleotides) under Triticum aestivum (bread wheat). RNAcentral describes it as "partial small subunit ribosomal RNA". The record is from RNAcentral. Lineage: Eukaryota; Viridiplantae; Streptophyta; Magnoliopsida; Poales; Poaceae.